Molecule: ribosomal RNA, 475 nt
Filed under: uncultured bacterium
Lineage: Bacteria
Description: bacterial SSU rRNA
Rfam family: Bacterial small subunit ribosomal RNA
Source: RNAcentral
CACUGUCACUCCUACGGGGAGGCAGCAGUGGGGAAUAUUGCACAAUGGGCGCAAGCCUGAUGCAGCCAUGCCGCGUGUGUGAAGAAGGCCUUCGGGUUGUAAAGCACUUUCAGUAAGGAGGAAAGGUUAGUAGUUAAUACCUGCUAGCUGUGACGUUACUUACAGAAGAAGCACCGGCUAACUCCGUGCCAGCAGCCGCGGUAAUACGGAGGGUGCGAGCGUUAAUCGGAAUUACUGGGCGUAAAGCGUACGCAGGCGGUUUGUUAAGCGAGAUGUGAAAGCCCCGGGCUCAACCUGGGAACUGCAUUUCGAACUGGCAAACUAGAGUGUGAUAGAGGGUGGUAGAAUUUCAGGUGUAGCGGUGAAAAUGCGUAGAGAUCUGAAGGAAUACCGAUGGCGAAGGCAGCCACCUGGGUCAACACUGACGCUCAUGUACGAAAGCGUGGGGAGCAAACGGGAUUAGAUACCCUGGUAG